AACAUCGCGCACCUGCGGGAACCUGCGGAAGGAUCAUUACAGAGUUGCAAAACUCCCUAAACCAUUGUGAACGUUACCUAAACCGUUGCUUCGGCGGGCGGCCCGGGUCCUUCCCGGCGCCCCUCGGCCCUCGCGGGCGCCCGCCGGAGGUAAACCAAACUAUUGCAUUGUAUGGCCUCUCUGAGUCUUCUGUACUGAAUAAGUCAAAACUUUCAACAAUGGAUCUCAGAUCGGAAGAGC
This 240-nucleotide unclassified non-coding RNA is filed under the name soil metagenome. RNAcentral describes it as "partial contains 5.8S ribosomal RNA, internal transcribed spacer 2, and large subunit ribosomal RNA". The record is from RNAcentral.